Molecule: transfer RNA, 73 nt
Filed under: marine gamma proteobacterium HTCC2080
Lineage: Bacteria; Pseudomonadati; Pseudomonadota; Gammaproteobacteria; Cellvibrionales; Halieaceae
Rfam family: tRNA
About the family: Transfer RNA (tRNA) molecules are approximately 80 nucleotides in length. Their secondary structure includes four short double-helical elements and three loops (D, anti-codon, and T loops). Further hydrogen bonds mediate the characteristic L-shaped molecular structure. tRNAs have two regions of fundamental functional importance: the anti-codon, which is responsible for specific mRNA codon recognition, and the 3' end, to which the tRNAs corresponding amino acid is attached (by aminoacyl-tRNA synthetases). tRNAs cope with the degeneracy of the genetic code in two manners: having more than one tRNA (with a specific anti-codon) for a particular amino acid; and 'wobble' base-pairing, i.e. permitting non-standard base-pairing at the 3rd anti-codon position.
Source: Rfam by way of RNAcentral
GGGGCCAUAGCUCAGUUGGGAGAGCGCAACACUGGCAGUGUUGAGGUCGUCGGUUCGAUCCCGUCUGGCUCCA